UUAAAUUUUUUAUAUUAUUUUAUUUUUUUUUGUUUUUAUUUUUUAAUAAAAUUAUUUUUGUAGAUUAAUUUGUCUUAGUAUUGUUAAGAAUUGAUUGUUUUUAUUAUAGUUUAUUAGUAAUGUAAAUGAAUUAAUAAUUUUAUUUUAGAUUUUAUAAAGUAGAUUUAAUUUUUCGUACCUUUUGUAUCAGGGUAUAUCAAAAUCUUGGUUAAUAUUAACUAAUCUCAAAUUAGGUUGAUUUACAAAUUAAUAAUAGUUAUUGUUUUAUAAAUAUUAUUAAUUAAUUUGUAGAAAUGAAAUGUUAUUCGUUUCCUAAAAUAUUUAGUUUCUUAAGAAAAAGUUUAAUUUUUUAUAACUAAUGUUAUUAUUUAAUUUUUUAAUUUUUAAUAUUGGUUUAUUUAUUAUUUAGGGGAUAAGCUCUAGAUUAAGAUUAUUCUAUAAUUUAUUGUUAGUUAAUAUAAUAAUAUGCUUAAAACCAGCAAUUUUUUGAUUACGUUUUAGUUCAUUUUUUAUAUAUUUGAUUUUAUAAUAAUUUUAGAUUUUUUAUUAAGAUUUUUAAUUUAAUUUUAAAGUUUUUGUAAUAAUGAUUUAAUUAGUAUAUUUAUUUUGUUUUAAUUUUUAUGUUUAAUAAUUUGUUAUAAGGAAUUAGGCAAAAUUAAUUUUCGCCUGUUUAUCAAAAACAUGUCUUCUAGAAUAUAUUUUGAAGUCUGACCUGCUCACUGAUGAAUUUAAAGAGCCGCGGUAUUUUGACCGUGCAAAGGUAGCAUAAUCAUUAGUUUCUUAAUUAGGGGCUGGAAUGAAUGGUUUGACGAAAAAUUAACUGUCUCUUAAUAAUUAAUUGAAUUUAACUUUUGAGUCAAAAGGCUUAAAUUUAUCUUUAGGACGAGAAGACCCUAUAGAGCUUGACAUCUAGUUUUAUAUAUAUUUUUAGUUUAUUUAUUUAUAUAAUUUAAAAUGUUUUGUUGGGGUGACAUGAAGAAUAAAUAAACUCUUCAUUAUUAAAUCAUUAAUUUAUGUUUAAGUGAUCCAUAAUUUAUGAUCAUAAGAUUAAGUUACCUUAGGGAUAACAGCGUAAUUGUUUUUGAGAGCUCAUAUUAACAAAGCAGAUUGCGACCUCGAUGUUGGAUUAAGAUAAAUUUUAGGUGAAGUAGCUUAAAAAUUAGGUCUGUUCGACCUUUAAAUUCUUACAUGAUCUGAGUUCAGACCGGCGUGAGCCAGGUCGGUUUCUAUCCAAAGAUUAAUUAAUUGUAUUAGUACGAAAGGACCAUAUAAUUAAAAUAUUUUUUAUAUAAUGAUUAAAAUUAAUUAUUU
This 1311-nucleotide ribosomal RNA is filed under the name Trilophidia annulata. Its description in RNAcentral is "16S ribosomal RNA". The stretch from base 876 to 1236 matches the Rfam family "Archaeal large subunit ribosomal RNA", at positions 2150 to 2716 of the family's 2987-position model. The record is from RNAcentral. Lineage: Eukaryota; Metazoa; Arthropoda; Insecta; Orthoptera; Acrididae.